Molecule: ribosomal RNA, 465 nt
Filed under: uncultured bacterium
Lineage: Bacteria
Description: partial 16S ribosomal RNA
Rfam family: Bacterial small subunit ribosomal RNA
Source: RNAcentral
CUACGGGGGGCUGCAGUGGGGAAUAUUGGACAAUGGGGGAAACCCUGAUCCAGCAAUGCCGCGUGUGUGAAGAAGGCCUGCGGGUUGUAAAGCACUUUCGGUUGGGAGGACUGCUUCUAGCACUAAUAUUGUUGGAAGUUGACGUUACCUUCAGAAGAAGCACCGGCUAACUCCGUGCCAGCAGCCGCGGUAAUGCGGAGGGUGCAAGCGUUAAUUGGAAUUACUGGGCGUAAAGCGCGCGUAGGCGGCUAGAUCAGUCGGGUGUGAAAGCCCCGGGCUUAACCUGGGAACUGCAUCCGAUACUGUCUAGCUUGAGUACAGGAGAGGAGAGUGGAAUUCCACAUGUAGCGGUGAAAUGCGUAGAUAUGUGGGGGAACACCAAUGGCGAAGGCAGCUCUCUGGCCUGAUACUGACGCUGAGGUGCGAAAGCGUGGGGAGCAAACAGGAUUAGAUACCCUAGUAGUC